UACGUAGGGAGCAAGCGUUGUUCGGAUUUACUGGGCGUAAAGGGCGCGUAGGCGGCAAAUUAAGUCAGCUGUGAAAUCUCCGAGCUUAACUCGGAACGGUCAGCUGAUACUGAUCUGCUAGAGUGCGGAAGGGGCAAUCGGAAUUCCUGGUGUAGCGGUGAAAUGCGCAGAUAUCAGGAGGAACACCGGUGGCGAAGGCGGGUCUCUGGGCCGAUACUGACGCUGAGGAGCGAAAGCGUGGGGAGCGAACAGG
RNAcentral lists this ribosomal RNA (253 nucleotides) under uncultured bacterium. RNAcentral describes it as "partial 16S ribosomal RNA". It matches the Rfam family "Bacterial small subunit ribosomal RNA", at positions 524 to 776 of the family's 1533-position model. The record is from RNAcentral.